Molecule: long non-coding RNA, 1518 nt
Organism: Quercus lobata
Lineage: Eukaryota; Viridiplantae; Streptophyta; Magnoliopsida; Fagales; Fagaceae
Exons: 2
Source: RefSeq, a predicted model, not a curated record
CCUUUGUAAUCUAGAAAAAAUCAUUCGUUGAAUCCAUUACCUUCUUCCAUCUAGAAAUCUUUCCCUUUGUAAUAUUUGAAGAAUUGAAAUCAAUUGCAACACUUGAUCUAAGGUCUCCAUGUCGAACCAAAAUCAAAGCGAUAUAGUAGUAAAUAAUGAGGAGAUGAUUAUAGAAAGAAAUCUAAAAAAAUGGAAAAUGGCUUCAGUACCUAUUAAUCAAAUUUAUAAGCAAUCUAUUUUUUCAAAAUUUUCAAUUAAGUCAGAUUAUAAAAUAAAAACGUUUGAAAGAACCUUGUCUUUAAAUAAUGAGAACGAGUCAAUACAAUUAUUCAAUGAGGAAUUAAUGCAAGAGCAUAGGCAGGAGUAUUUAUCUGUUAAUUUUGGAUUAGUUCAAGUAGCAAUUAAACCACUAAUAAGACAGGGAUUAAAUACAAGUGUAUCAUUAUGUUUAAGAGAUGGUAGACAACUUAAUUUUGAUCAGUCUAUAAUAGGAAGGAUUGAAACGUCUUUAUAUGAAGAUCCACUUUAUUUUAAUUGUUUUCCUAAUUUUACUUUACCUAUUUGUGAACCAGACUUACCGUGUGGAUUAACAUUGGAUGUUAAAAUUAAUAAUAUGGUGAGAGGAUCACAACCUUUAACAAUUAUGUAUAGGAUUUGUUAUGAAUUGAUGAAAACAUUAUUUUCAAAAUCAUUAGAUAAAAACACUUCCUUCAUACAAACAAAUGCUAGGAAUUCUAGUAACACUUCAUUAAUACAAACAAAUGCUAGGAAUUCUAGUAUUAUAAGUCUGUGCUGUGUAUCCAAGAGUUAGCCGAUAUACAUCACUGUCAGUUUCUAAGACCUUUUCCCCUCUUCGUAUUUGUGUUAAAAUAUUUAGUAUUUUUUUUUUUAAAUCGUAAGUAAAUUGAAUGGAAUCAAAUUACACUUCCAAAUCAAUUGAUAUCAGAAACUCUUGAACCUCCAAAUGUUGGAAGCAGCAACUCAAAUAUCAGAUGUAGAGGACGAAGACCAAAGUGAUUCUCCUUUACCAGAUUACUUUCAAGAUGCUCAAGACUGGUAUGGGAUAUCAUUUCAGUUGAAUUAAUAUAAGAUUUUCAGCAUUUUCUGUAUCAAAAUAAAUCAGAGGAUUUUACUUUUGGUAUUAUUAGAAAAAUUACUUUUGGAGGAAUUAGAUAGCUCUAGCAGCUUGUAUCAGACCUUUCAUUAUUCAUCUACAAUAUCAUUUUGGUGGUAUCAGGAAUUAUUGAAGCCUUUUCACUAUUCAUCUAUGGUAUUGUUCCGGCGGUAUCAGCAAUUAUUGAAGACUUUUCACUAUUCAAGGAUAUUGUUGUUCAUAUUACUAGUCAUUGUAUUAUUGUAAUUUAAUUAUUCACUUUUGUAGCCUAUAUAAGACUCCCUUGUUUGGGAUCUGCUUAUUUUCCAAAGUUUCCUUUGCAACCUUCUUUUAUCCCAAAUCUUACCCUCAAUCUUCCCUUGUAAUAUUUUAAAAUAUUUAAAUGAAUUUUAGAGUUUCAAGUA